GCACAGCUCAGGGGUAGAGCACCUGCUUUGUAUGCAGAAGGUCCCAGGUUCAAUCCCCACUGGCAGGCA
Podarcis lilfordi (Lilford's wall lizard) is the source of this 69-nucleotide non-coding RNA. NCBI's taxonomy places the organism in Eukaryota, Metazoa, Chordata, Lepidosauria, Squamata, Lacertidae. The record is from the annotation of a GenBank genome assembly.